RNAcentral lists this ribosomal RNA (119 nucleotides) under Pteropus alecto (black flying fox). Lineage: Eukaryota; Metazoa; Chordata; Mammalia; Chiroptera; Pteropodidae. The record is from RNAcentral.
GUCUACAGCUAUGCCACCCUGAACGUCCCAGAUCUCGUCUGAUGUUGGAGGCUAAGCAGGGUUGGGCCUGCUUAGUAUUUGGAUAGGAGACCACCUAGGAAGACCAGGUGCUGUAGGCA